CCGCCCACUUCCGCCCGCCGCCGGCUCCUUCCCUUUUAUAACCUCGCUGCCGCCGAGCGCCCGCGCGUCCUUCCGGUGCGAGCCGACUCUCCCAGGACGCUUUGCGGCGCCCGAGCCGCCGCGGCCCUGCGGCCCUUGUGGCGGGGGUAGGGGAGGCGGGGCGAGAUGAAGGGCUCGCGCGCCUGCCGUUCCGCCAGGGAGGGCCGCUAGUGGGUUCGCCCCGGGCGCCCUCGGCUUCGGCGCCGGCCCCAGCGUUCCGACUGGGCUUUGUGACGCCACGCGCUCCCGCGCCGGGCCCGCUGCUCCGGGUGUUGGCGGAGGACAGCGGGCUCCGGGGCGGCCGGGUGGGGCAGGCCGAGUCCUCGCGUGCCUUGCGCGUCCCCGCGGACUCGAGCCGCCAUCCGGCCGCGAGGUCUGGGCGCCUCGGCCCGAGGACGCUGGUUUCGAGCGGGGCCAAAGUAGACAAAGCUCGCCUCCAUUUUUUCUGAUUAUGCAGAAAAUCGAAUGUAGACAAGCGAGGCAUUCUGAGGCCGUCCAGUCUCGGGGCAUUUAGGAAUGUGCAGGUGUAUAUUAGCUUAAAAGUAUUAUACUAAUAAUAAAGGUUGACUUGGCAUAUGAAGAUUCGGGGAAUAGACCACGGACCACAAAGUUAAGAAUGAUAGCAUAUAUUCUACUAGGAAAAAAAAAAAAAGCCUUCUCACCAUAUGCAGACAAAUUCUCAGACUGGAGGGAGGGAGAAUUCAGAGAGAAAAGGUGGUCCCACAGGUUUGUGAUUAGACCUAAAAAUUCCAGGCCAGCAAGCCGUGCCUAGGAGCCCCCCUCCCUGGACCUCCGUGAAGAAUGACCUGCUUCUCUGAGAUUCCACCUUCCCUGAAGCUUAGAGAGGCGCACAGCAAAGGGAACUGAGAAAGGAGUAGAGGUGAAAGUAGGCAAAUGCGGUGUCCCGGAAGCCAAGGGAAGACAACCUUCAAGGAAGACAGAAAGAACUGGGUCUGAUGCUGCUGGUGGGUCAAGGAGAAUGAGGCCUGAGCACUGACCAUUGGGUUUAACAGUCGGGAGGUCACUGAUGAUCCUGAGUAGACCAGAUGAACGUAUGAACAUAACCGAAUGCAGACAGGCAGAGGAAAGGGGCAGAUCACAUGGUACCACGUCCCUGGCUGCUGUCCUAGACUUGUCAAUCACAGCAUUCCCCGUGCUCACUGUUCUCUUCCAAAACACAGCUCUACCUAUGCAGACCCAGGCUAGUCCUCGCACAUGGUGGUCUUAUUCAGCACCGUAUGAUAGGCUAACCAUUGGCCUGGGAGGGGAGCCUGACACAGAAGGCCCUGCCAAUGCCCAUCACAUCCCCUUUCUGAAAUAUGCGAGGUAGGCUGCUAUCAGUAGAAUCUGAAGCUGAGAGACUGCACAAGGGGAGGUUGUGAGGUAGGAAGGCCACGCUGGACCACUAGUGGGCUGAAGUUUCAAAACAGGCAGAACACGUGAUCAUGGAGCUGAAUUUAUGGCAUAGAAAACGGCGUGCAGAUCAGAGUGCAGGGGCUGCCUGGUAGCAGGAGAAGAAGGGAGAAGCCCCCCAAGCAGAAGCAGAGAUGGGGAAUGUGGCUGAGUCACGUCUCGGUGGGCACUAGAGUCAGACCCACAAAGCACCGCCCUGUUCCAAACCUCCCACCAGCCCGGUGCCUCCCGGAGCCCCGUCCUUCCAUCUCCUCGAGGCUCUUCCCCCAUCGCUGUGAAGGUCUGCACGUGAAGCCCCCUACCUGAGCUCACUUGAGCGCAAUGAAGUAAACCAGCAACACAGUGGGCACUAUUUUACUAAGUCAGAGUGUGAUCUCAGUAAGAUGUGCUCAGAGGCUCCUGAAUUAAAGCCAAAGAACAGAAACAAAAUAGGAAAUGGGAUUGAUAGACCAGACACCGGGAUGUAUUCAGAGUGUGGUAACAGCACAGGGGUCUUUCCAGGAGUCUAACAGGAAAAGGGUGGGUCUCUCACCGACUUUUGCCUUCCUGGGCUUGACCGAGCCCGUGAUGAAGUGAGGACGAUGUGAGGAAGGCCAGACUUUCGUAGUGAUGGAAGUUUUUUUGUGUUGGAGAGACCGAGGUAGGCAGCGUCCUUAAACUGGGAGCACCGGGUGAGCUAGUCCCUUGCAUUCCUGAGGCUCAGUAGCUGGGUCAUAUGCAUCUGCUAAAGAUAUCCCAAGGUCACUAGACCUUUGACUGAAGUAGUUAUUUUUGUUGAGUUCAGUGGUCCAAUUUGUCUUUUGCACAUCGAAUGUACAAAAUUCAAAAUUUGUUACGGUUCUGGGCACAGGGGUCAACUAUGAGCUAGACCAUUAAGGGAUCAGGAAAUCUCCCAACUAAACCAUCUUGGGAAGGCUCUCCGGGAUCUCUGCUUUAGGGCACCAGGGAAGAAGUUUCCAGACCUAUUCCUGAACCAUGGACACGAAAAAAGUAUUCAUCAGAGUCUAGAUGAUUUCAAUCAGAUUAACUGUAGCCUCUUGAUUUUCAUUUUAUAGACUGAGUUUUAGACUUAUUACAAUGAUAUUUAUUGAGCAACUACUUUGUGCCAGGCUCCAUCUCAGUGCGGGAAUGCCACGUGAGUCAACAAGGGCUGGAGGCCCAACUUUGGUUUUCUGGACACUACAGAUAACGCCAGCAGUUCUCGUGUGACCCUAGAGAUGGGAGGAGACCCAAACAUGACUGAGAUUGAAUUUCUCAUCACACAGGCAAGUUGACUUAAUAUGACUUAGAAACUUCAAAAUGUGGCAUUUUUUAAAUUUUUGCUACUCGUUUUAGAGUAAAAUUCAUAACCAUUAGCUAUAUAUUAUCUCAUUAAAACUCACAAUAAUCCUA
Molecule: long non-coding RNA, 2844 nt
Organism: Aethalodelphis obliquidens (Pacific white-sided dolphin)
Lineage: Eukaryota; Metazoa; Chordata; Mammalia; Artiodactyla; Delphinidae
Exons: 3
Source: RefSeq, a predicted model, not a curated record